AUGCAGAAGUUCGCCAGAAGGAAGAAGAGCUGGGCGUCGAGGAGGAGAAGAAGGUGGUAUGCGAGGUGCUUGCAGGCCCAGCAGCAGGAGGCCAUCCUUGAGGUGCUCCUCUGGAUGGUCCCUUCCGGCGCUGGGCCUACAUGUUCAAUGCUGCCCUCACCAUCCCCUUCUUCCAUUGGCUCAUCGGCCCAUAUAUAUUUAUAUAAGGUUUAUCAUCACCCCAUGGAUCAUGUGUUGUUGAUUGACCAGGUUAUUGAGGUGGAGGUCAACGGGGUGAGGCAGAGAAGUGGAGUGCUCAUAAAGAAACGAAGCUGCUACCUGGACUCGCCACUGCCGCCACCUCUAGUCGCUUCAGCCUAG
RNAcentral lists this ribosomal RNA (360 nucleotides) under Triticum aestivum (bread wheat). Its description in RNAcentral is "partial small subunit ribosomal RNA". The record is from RNAcentral. Lineage: Eukaryota; Viridiplantae; Streptophyta; Magnoliopsida; Poales; Poaceae.